AAGUGGGACGCAUGAUAGUGACGUAAUUGCUGGCGUAGCUCCUGAGUUUCCGCUGAGGAGCCGCGGGAAAGGAGAGGAGGGGCGGUGGCCAGGCGGUUGCCCUGACAACGGGAAACCGACAGUCUCUUCCCGGUAGGGAGAGGGGAUGGCGGAAUUACUCCUCUAAAGUCAAGGUUUUCUAAUCACAGAAUUACUGGAGCGUCAAGAAGCGCCUGCAUGCUUGGAAGGGCUUCCAGGCAGAUGAACACACCUCAGCACCGGGUGGCAGUUUCCCAGGGUGCAACCCGGACCGGCUCUGGGUCACACUGACAAGCCUCUCCGACUCCCCAGGCUGGGUUGGGUGCUCCUCCCUCUCAUCCCACAGCGCUAUGUCUCAUGUCUUCUGGAAAACUUGCCAAUCCCUAGUGAUAACAAGGAUUAACAAUUUCCAGAGACAGCCCGUACAUAGAGGGAAAGUUUACUGAAAAAAAUGAAGAGGGGUCAGGGCAAGGCGAGGAGCAAGAAGCAUCCCCAAGGAAACAGAGAAGACCAGUACAACUGUACCUCUUUGCCAGCUGCACCAUCCGUACCAGGUUCGCCCUGGGGAGUAAAGAGCAAUGGAGACAUGAGGAGCUCCAACCCA
Pongo pygmaeus (Bornean orangutan) is the source of this 622-nucleotide long non-coding RNA. RefSeq lists it as uncharacterized. The record is from RefSeq and is a predicted model, not a curated record. The transcript has 4 exons. Lineage: Eukaryota; Metazoa; Chordata; Mammalia; Primates; Hominidae.